Molecule: long non-coding RNA, 219 nt
Filed under: Homo sapiens (human)
Lineage: Eukaryota; Metazoa; Chordata; Mammalia; Primates; Hominidae
Description: non-protein coding lnc-ATXN1-4:1
Source: RNAcentral
UUGAGGGACAGUGAGAGAGGUUGGAGAAGAGAGUAAGAAGAGGCCGCUUACCUGAUUUAAAAUUGGCGAGAUGUUCGUUCCUUGGGCUGGUUGGUCUGAGGACCUGAGUCACGGCACCAAAUUUCAUGCGCGUCCUUGUGAAGAGACCACCAAACAGGCUUUGUGUGAGCAACAUGGCUGCUUAUUUCACUUGGGUGCAGGCGGGCUGAGUCCGAAAAG